RNAcentral lists this transfer RNA (65 nucleotides) under Pomacea maculata. Its description in RNAcentral is "tRNA-Glu". Lineage: Eukaryota; Metazoa; Mollusca; Gastropoda; Architaenioglossa; Ampullariidae. The record is from RNAcentral.
GUUUUUAUGGUGUAUUCAUGCACGUUGAAAUUUCAUCUCAAAAGAGUAUUUUCUAUACUAAAAAU